GGCUUCGUGGUGUAGUGGUUAUCACGUGACGUUCACAUUCAUGUGGAUUACAAUCUGGAUGUUCACAUCAAGAUCCGUCAAGGUCGGGAGUUCGAAACUCCCCGAAGUCA
Molecule: non-coding RNA, 110 nt
Organism: Gnomoniopsis smithogilvyi
Lineage: Eukaryota; Fungi; Ascomycota; Sordariomycetes; Diaporthales; Gnomoniaceae
Source: the annotation of a GenBank genome assembly